GACGAACGCUGGCGGCGCGCCUAACACAUGCAAGUCGAACGAGCCGAGGAGAGCUUGCUCUCCAGAGCUAGUGGCGGACGGGUGAGUAACACGUGAGCAACCUGCCUCUCAGAGGGGGAUAACGUUUGGAAACGAACGCUAAUACCGCAUAACGUAUUCGGGCCACAUGACCUGAAUACCAAAGGAGCAAUCCGCUGAGAGAUGGGCUCGCGUCCGAUUAGCUAGUUGGUGAGGUAACGGCCCACCAAGGCGACGAUCGGUAGCCGGACUGAGAGAUUGAUCGGCCACAUUGGGACUGAGACACGGCCCAG
RNAcentral lists this ribosomal RNA (311 nucleotides) under uncultured bacterium. RNAcentral's name for it is "bacterial SSU rRNA". It matches the Rfam family "Bacterial small subunit ribosomal RNA", at positions 28 to 334 of the family's 1533-position model. The record is from RNAcentral.